This is a small nuclear RNA of Pongo abelii (Sumatran orangutan), 107 nucleotides long. The record is from Ensembl. Lineage: Eukaryota; Metazoa; Chordata; Mammalia; Primates; Hominidae.
GUGCUUGCUUCAGCAGCACAUACACUAAAAUUGGAAUGAUACAGAGAAGAUUAGCAUGGGCCCUGCACGAGGAUGAUUUGCAAAUUCGUGAAGUGUUCCGUAUUUUU